This 557-nucleotide ribosomal RNA is filed under the name uncultured bacterium. RNAcentral's name for it is "partial 16S ribosomal RNA". It matches the Rfam family "Bacterial small subunit ribosomal RNA", at positions 355 to 906 of the family's 1533-position model. The record is from RNAcentral.
UGGGGAAUUUUGGACAAUGGGCGAAAGCCUGAUCCAGCAAUGCCGCGUGUGUGAAGAAGGCCUUCGGGUUGUAAAGCACUUUUGUCCGGAAAGAAAUCCUUGGCUCUAAUACAGUCGGGGGAUGACGGUACCGGAAGAAUAAGCACCGGCUAACUACGUGCCAGCAGCCGCGGUAAUACGUAGGGUGCAAGCGUUAAUCGGAAUUACUGGGCGUAAAGCGUGCGCAGGCGGUUUGCUAAGACCGAUGUGAAAUCCCCGGGCUCAACCUGGGAACUGCAUUGGUGACUGGCAGGCUAGAGUAUGGCAGAGGGGGGUAGAAUUCCACGUGUAGCAGUGAAAUGCGUAGAGAUGUGGAGGAAUACCGAUGGCGAAGGCAGCCCCCUGGGCCAAUACUGACGCUCAUGCACGAAAGCGUGGGGAGCAAACAGGAUUAGAUACCCUGGUAGUCCACGCCCUAAACGAUGUCAACUAGUUGUUGGGGAUUCAUUUCCUAGUAACGUAGCUAACGCGUGAAGUUGACCGCCUGGGGAGUACGGUCGCAAGAUUAAAACUCAAAU